GACGAACGCUGGCGGCGCGCUUAACACAUGCAAGUCGAACGGAAAGGCCUGCUUUCCCUUGUGGAUUGCAGGUACUCGAGUGGCGAACGGGUGAGUAACACGUGAGUGAUCUGCCCCCAACUUGGGUAUAAGCCUGGGAAACUGGGUCUAAUUCCCGAUAGGACUGCAGGGUGGUGCCUGUGGUGGAAAACGAUUUUCUAGUGGUUGGGGAUGAGCUCGCGGCCUAUCAGCUUGUUGGUGGGGUAAUGGCCUACCAAGGCGGCGACGGGUAGCCGGCCUGGGAGGGUGGACGGGCACAUUGGGACUGAGAUACGGCCCAGACUCCUACGGGAGGCAGCAGUGGGGAAUAUUGCACAAUGGGCGGAAGCCUGAUGCAGCGACGCCGCGUGGGGGAUGACGGCCUUCGGGUUGUAAACUCCUUUCGACCGCGAGGAAGCCACCUGGUUGGAAGGGUGGUGACGGUAGUGGUAGAAGAAGCACCGGCUAACUACGUG
This 494-nucleotide ribosomal RNA is filed under the name uncultured bacterium. Its description in RNAcentral is "partial 16S ribosomal RNA". It matches the Rfam family "Bacterial small subunit ribosomal RNA", at positions 28 to 507 of the family's 1533-position model. The record is from RNAcentral.